RNAcentral lists this ribosomal RNA (499 nucleotides) under uncultured bacterium. RNAcentral describes it as "partial 16S ribosomal RNA". It matches the Rfam family "Bacterial small subunit ribosomal RNA", at positions 28 to 507 of the family's 1533-position model. The record is from RNAcentral.
GACGAACGCUGGCGGCGUGCCUAAUACAUGCAAGUCGAGCGAAGGUUUUCUGCUGCUUGCACUAGAAAGACUUAGCGGCGAACGUGUGGGUAACACGUAAAGAACCUGCCUCAUAGACUGGGACAACUAUUGGAAACGAUAGCUAAUACCUGAUAACAGUAUUUCUCGCAUGAGAGAUAUUUAAAAGUUGGUUGUGCUAACACUAUGAGAUGGCUUUGCGGUGCAUUAGCUAGUUGGUGGGGUAAAGGCCCACCAAGGCGACGAUGCAUAGCCGACCUGAGAGGGUGAUCGGCCACACUGGAACUGAGACACGGUCCAGACUCCUACGGGAGGCAGCAGUAGGGAAUCUUCCGCAAUGGGCGAAAGCCUGACGGAGCAACGCCGCGUGAGUGAAGAAGGAUUUCGGUUCGUAAAGCUCUGUUGUUAGGGAAGAAUGGAUGUGUAGUAACUACACAUGUAAGAGACGGUACCUAACCAGAAAGCAACGGCUAACUACGUG